RNAcentral lists this ribosomal RNA (1073 nucleotides) under Phocaeicola vulgatus. Its description in RNAcentral is "bacterial SSU rRNA". It matches the Rfam family "Bacterial small subunit ribosomal RNA", at positions 249 to 1326 of the family's 1533-position model. The record is from RNAcentral. Lineage: Bacteria; Pseudomonadati; Bacteroidota; Bacteroidia; Bacteroidales; Bacteroidaceae.
UAGGCGGGGUAACGGCCCACCUAGUCUUCGAUGGAUAGGGGUUCUGAGAGGAAGGUCCCCCACAUUGGAACUGAGACACGGUCCAAACUCCUACGGGAGGCAGCAGUGAGGAAUAUUGGUCAAUGGGCGAGAGCCUGAACCAGCCAAGUAGCGUGAAGGAUGACUGCCCUAUGGGUUGUAAACUUCUUUUAUAAAGGAAUAAAGUCGGGUAUGCAUACCCGUUUGCAUGUACUUUAUGAAUAAGGAUCGGCUAACUCCGUGCCAGCAGCCGCGGUAAUACGGAGGAUCCGAGCGUUAUCCGGAUUUAUUGGGUUUAAAGGGAGCGUAGAUGGAUGUUUAAGUCAGUUGUGAAAGUUUGCGGCUCAACCGUAAAAUUGCAGUUGAUACUGGAUAUCUUGAGUGCAGUUGAGGCAGGCGGAAUUCGUGGUGUAGCGGUGAAAUGCUUAGAUAUCACGAAGAACUCCGAUUGCGAAGGCAGCCUGCUAAGCUGCAACUGACAUUGAGGCUCGAAAGUGUGGGUAUCAAACAGGAUUAGAUACCCUGGUAGUCCACACGGUAAACGAUGAAUACUCGCUGUUUGCGAUAUACAGCAAGCGGCCAAGCGAAAGCGUUAAGUAUUCCACCUGGGGAGUACGCCGGCAACGGUGAAACUCAAAGGAAUUGACGGGGGCCCGCACAAGCGGAGGAACAUGUGGUUUAAUUCGAUGAUACGCGAGGAACCUUACCCGGGCUUAAAUUGCAGAUGAAUUACGGUGAAAGCCGUAAGCCGCAAGGCAUCUGUGAAGGUGCUGCAUGGUUGUCGUCAGCUCGUGCCGUGAGGUGUCGGCUUAAGUGCCAUAACGAGCGCAACCCUUGUUGUCAGUUACUAACAGGUUCCGCUGAGGACUCUGACAAGACUGCCAUCGUAAGAUGUGAGGAAGGUGGGGAUGACGUCAAAUCAGCACGGCCCUUACGUCCGGGGCUACACACGUGUUACAAUGGGGGGUACAGAGGGCCGCUACCACGCGAGUGGAUGCCAAUCCCAAAAACCUCUCUCAGUUCGGACUGGAGUCUGCAACCCGACUCCACGAAGC